UCAUAAUCUGUUCAACAUAUCAAUGAAGGUGUCUUCGUUGCAUGGAAUUGUGAGGCCGCCUUCUGGAUGACUAAACCCAAAUUCUUCCUCUGCUUGACUUAACAGGUCUUGGAAAGUAGGCUCGUUUAAGUAAGAGAUCGGAACUACAAAUCUUCUUCUUUGGUCCUCCCCGACAUAAACUGCCAUGCAUCCCUUCGGGACAUUUGUACUACGAUCAAGAUUUGUUGAGGAGAAUUGGCGGUUGAGAAUUUGCUUGAGACUAGUGAUACGAGGAACAUGAAUACCCAUGAUGCUAAAAUCAAAAAUUUGUAGUAUUCAGGAUAAACUCUGCUGAUAUUGAAAUACAAGGACUUGUGCAGAUGGAAGGCUUAGACACUUGAAUACAAUUGAUUAUGUGAUGAAUUUGGUUGAGUUUAUAAUAGCUAUUUUAUAGAGCACAUAGGAAGUAGUAUCGAACGAUUGAACAUUUGAUUGAGUGGCGCAGAUGAAUUAGGCAUUAGCACAUGCUAUUCUCUCUCAAUGGCCACAUAUGUUUAAGAUUUAUGGUAGGACUUAAAUGUCUGUUAAGAAACAUCAUGUCCUACUACUUUUGUUCUACAAAUCUGAACCUGAUAUCUUCUCAUCUAAAUAUGUGUUAUGUGAACGCCAUACAAAUAAUUUGGCUUGAAACUCUUGAGUUUUAGUUAGGUGCUCAUGUGAUAGUGUUUUCAUUCACCCAUCCUAGCUGUUAUUUUGUUGCAUUGAUGAAUCAUUUAGUAGAAAACAGUAGCUGCUGGGGCUUAAUCAAGCAGACUCCGUAGGGCUUGAUGUCUCGCAACACACAUAAAUCAAAUCUUCUUGGUCAUAUAUACUUGUAGCUAUUAGAACAGAAUAUCAUGUGCAAGUGUCUAUUGCUUCUUCGCCCCACGGAUAAUAUUUUGGAUAAAUUGUUUGAGAAGUUCUAUCAUCUAUGUUCUAUAUAUACAUAUAUUUAAGCAUUAGUAGAAUUCAUCACAAACUCAAUUGCUUCAAGCCUUAAACUUACAUUUCCUUGCGUUUCUGGUGUAUCGCCCAACUCUUCACUAAAAUAUCUAUAGCAGAAUGGGUAUUCGCGUGCCUCGCAUUGCUAAUCUCAAACAAAUCCUCAACCGGUCAUCUUUCCUGAUAAAUCCUGAUCUUACUUCAACGAUUCCAAAGGGGUGCUUGGCAGUUUAUAUUGGGGAGAGCCAAAGAAGCCGAUUUGUUGUUCCUGUUUCAUACCUGAAUGAGCCGGACUUUCAAGAAUUGUUAAGUCAAGCUGAGGAAGAAUUUGGAUUCAAUCAUCCGGAAGGAGGUCUUACAAUUCCAUGCUCAGUGGACACAUUCAAUGAAAUCACUUCGCGCCUGAACAGAUUAUAACGGAAACCAAUUCAUAUACAUGUAGAUAGUAUUCCGAUCUCAUUUGAUGAGCUUCUGAGUGUAAAUUGUAGAAUAGGAUUAGUUUAUAACUAUUAUGUAGGCAACGUCUAAUUUGAUCCCCCAUUUUUGUUGAUAUUUCUACCAUUUCUUAUAACAAGUUUACGUUGAGCAGUAAAAAAUUCCAAUUAUCAUACCUGAAUGAGGCUGCCUUCCAAGACUUGUCAAGUUAAGCCCAAGAAGAACAUGUGUUGAAUCAUUCAAAAGGUGCCUUCAUAAUUCUCGACACCUUCAUUAACCUCACUUUGAAAAAAAUUAAAUUGUUAAAUAGUAAAGCAUCUCCAAACAUGUAAACUUAAAUGUAUCUGGAGUCGUUAUUAUUAGACGUGUGGCUUUACAUAGUGGUUUUAUGUGUUUGUCAGCUCCGGAGCAUUAAGAACUCCCGCGAAAGAAAAAGGGAAAAUUAUCAAGUUGAUCACUCGUUUCAUUCAAAUAUAUCAAGUAGAUCAUUACUUUCUAGUUUGACUCAAGUUAAUCUAUUCUUUCUGUUAAUUUGUACAUGUCGUUAGGCUCAACUCUGCUUUUUAGUCAUUUAUAAUAUCAAAUGUUAAUAUUUAUGUUAAUUAUCGACCCGGAACAGCGUGAAAGUAAAUAGGAUAACCUCACAUGUAAAUGAACUUCAAAAAUUUAUAAGCUCUACUGGUUAGGUCAUGACAUAAAUUCUUGUGAUCUUCAUUUACAUGUCAGACUAUCCUAGUCACUUCCAUGCUGCACUCGAUAACUAACGAAAAUAUUAACAGUAAUUGUUGUAAUUGAUUGAAAAAGAGAUUAGAUUCAUACUGCUUGUACGGAAUAACAGAGUGAAUGGUUAACUUGAGUCAAACUGGAAAGUAAUGAUUUACUUGAUAUAUUUGGAUGAAACGAGUGACUAACUUGAUAUUUUUCCCAAAAGAAAAAUAUCAUCGGGGGUAUGAAACUGGCAAGGAGUAGAGAUCGACCGAACAAGAAAGAUUAAGCAAAAUAAAAAGAAAUUCUGACAAUACAUAGAGGGUUCAUUCGAUUUCUCUUUGAUUAUUUUUCAAGUUGAUCUACCAAACCUUCUUGUGAUCUAUGUUGAAUGGUUAAUUAUGUGAACAAGCAAUUGUUCAUAUUAUUAUUAUUAAUUAUCAAUGGAGCCACCCCCUUUUCUUUAGGAAUGUGACACUAUUUUUUAGAUCCUUUAAUUUGAUGAACAAAAACAUAACCAAACCUGAACAAAAUUACAUCAACUGUCCUUGCAAAAAAAGAAAUUUAAAGAAAGGAGAAACUUAUGGUAGAUAUUUAAACCUUCACAAUAAAGGGAAGAUGGACAACGAAAGAACUUUUAAAAAAUAUAUCCAGAAUCCAGGAAUAGGCUACUAGUAAAGGUUGGUCCUUGACCUUUCCCUAAUGACAAGGUCAGUGGUUCAUAUCCACACUCCACUUCGCUAUGAAGUUCCGUGUUAUAAGCAUGCAUGUUUUUAUUCCUUAGCAAUUCAUUUCUCAUACAAUGCUCAAGCAAGAAGUGAGUUUAAAGAAUAUGUCUACUCUACAUGGAAUAGUAAGACCACCUUCUACAUGAUCAACUAUGAAUUCUUUUUCGGCUUGAGUCAAUAAAUUUUGAUAGGGAGGUUCACUUAAAUAUGCUAUCGGGAUUGUAUAAGCUACUUCUCUGGCCUCCCCAACAUAAACUGCCAUAAGCCUUUUGGAAGAAGAAGCACUGUUGAACUAGCAAGAUAUCUCAACAAAACAGAGAAGACUGAUUGAUACUUUUCUUAACAUGAGAAAUAACAGUCAUACGGUUUUCAUGGUGUAAUGAAAAAAUUGACAGGAAUGAUUAUAUAAUGAAAGUAGAUGUGGAUGAAAAUUUUGAUGGUUCGGCUAAUUAGUUUAUGUUGACUUGUUUGCAGUUCCAUUUUUCUGCGAUUAGAUAUAAAAAGGAGAAAUGAAAUAUCAUCUAAAAUAUGAGAAAUUCACACGCCUUUCUCUUUGGCUCACCACAUAGAUUAACAACUCAGAGGCCAUAUCUAUUUCUGCUAGGAAACAUCUCAUGUUCCCAAUUGAUUGCUUAUGUGCACCACCUCAAAAAUCAACACUUCUGCAUCAGAUAAAGAUUUCAAGAGAGAGUAGCACAUGGGUCUGUAUUUAUGUUACCCUACUGCUUCUUGUACCACAAAGCCAAAUACAUGCUUCAGACAAGGAUUAGAAGGUUGAUUUUACGUUUGAUUAUGUUAAAAAUUCAAAUAAUUGGACUCCUAAAAAUUUAAGGCAGAGCUAUCAGACAACUAAGAUAUUUGAUUAUCCUUGGUAUGUGUAGGGCAAGUUGUGUCUUGGUAAGCAGAGACAUAUAUCCCAAACUUCUCCAACCUUGCUACACAUUCUGUAUUUGUAGGACAUCACCAUGUGCUAGUGACUUAUUAUUUCAUUUUCAGUGUUCAAGAAACCUUCUAUAUAAACAUAGCGAAUUUGACAUAAAUCAACACAAGGCUUACUAGCAAACCUUCAUUUCUUUCAUCAAGCAUCGUCCACGUAUAACAUAAAUCAAGUAUCUGUGAUCAGUUCCACGUUAUUCUGAAAUUUAUCGAAAUUGGCAUAUAAUAGUGGGUUAACAGAUAAAUUUCUUGAAAAUUGAUAUGGGAGAAAGCAGCCUCUUAUCUUAUAUUCCUAUAUUUCAGAAAGAUUUAGUCAGAACCUAUUACAGUUUCUCUGUGAUCAUAUUUACUAGACCGAAAUUGAUCAGGCAUCGACCUGCAGAAGAUACUUGGCAAGGUAUAACAAUAAUGCUUCAAGUUGCUUCAAGUUAAAUCUGCAGCACAUACAUUAUUUCAUUUAUUUUAUGUUAGAGAUUGAUCACCCCUAGACAAAAAAUGCGCUACAUUAUGUGUUCUACAAAUGUAUACCUGAUCAAGACUUGAUAUGAAAUUACAAAUUCAAAUUGGAACUUUAAGUUGAUAUUUUGACGAUAUGAUUUAUUUUUUCAGAUUUAUAGUUGAUUAUUAGUUUGAGUUUUAUGCAUAAUUGGUUUGGUUUUUGACUUAUUAUGAAUUGAUAAUGACAUAGCUGUAAUAAGAGUUGCAUGCUAGUAAUUUGGGUUGAGUUAUGUGUGAUUAUGUUUAUGUAUCACUGAGUUUGGUAUAUGAGGGCAGCCCUGUGAUUUUAUGUUCAUGGAAUGGUGAUAUCUUUAAAUUUAAUUAUGAAUUCUGUGAUUUUAUUGAGUUGAUUGCUUUUAGUUUCAUCUGCAUGCCCUGUCCUAUGCUAAAUCUGCAGCCUUGAGUUUAUAUGUGCUGUGUUCAAUUCGAAAAUUUGGGGAAAACAGGCCUAAUGACAUGAGACUUUGAUUAUCUAAUGACCUUGAUGUGGACCAAGAGAAUUUGGCUAAAUUUUAAAUCAAAUAACGAAUGUUAUGUGAGGAUUCAGUUCUGAUAUAAGUGUGUAGUGAUUAUUAAAAAACCAUAAAUCUUGUUAGCAUAUAAAUGGAUAAUAAGAGAAAUUUUAUGAAUUUCAUAAGUGCUUGAUGCUUCUGUUCUUGAAUCCAAUAAUGUAGAAUUUAUAAAAACAACUAAUUCAAGGUUUAAGAAAUUUAGACAGAUCGAGUGUUAAUUCCAGUCAUUAAGAAAGGCAUACUUGCUCUGAUACCACUGUUGAGCCAGCUAAGCAAGCCAGUUACGGACCAGUUACGGACCAAUUACGGUCCAACCUUGCUCUGAGCCAAGACUCCACAAUAGUACGAUAUUGUCCGCUUUGGUACGAUAUUGUCCGCUUUGGGCCUAGCCCGCAUGGCUUUGUUUUUGGGCACCUCUCAAAAGGCCUCGUUCUAUUGGAGUUGUUCUGGCUGCUUAUAUUCUAACUUUAUGCUCCUCCCACAACCGAUGUGGGAUUUGUUCUAACAGUAACUUUUGAGACAGAUUCUAUUUCUGGUGGUAAACAUCUCAUGGACCCAGUUGAAUGCUUAUACAUAGAAGAACAGAGAAGUAAUCAAUUAUUAAACAUCAAUCAAGAGAUUACAAUAGAAAGUAGCACAUCAGUUUGUACCUGCAUUACCUUACUACUUCCCGUACCACAAAAAUAUAAUAUAUGUGCUCAGACAAGGGUUAGAUGGUAUGAUUCCUGUGUGAUGGUGUUUAAAAUCUCAAAAAAUAGACAACCUAUAAAUUCAAGAUCAUCAUAUGUAAUACGGCAGGGUGUGUCUUGGUCAUACAGUCUUCCUAUUCAUUUGAUAUUUGUAGGACAAAACCAUGUGGAAGUGACUUAUUAUCACCAAUGUAUAUGCAUUAGUAGUCCUUAAUUUACUAUUCAAGAAUUGGUUCAUCUGCUAUAUAAGCACAUCAUUGGGAUUUUAACGGAAACCAUUUUAAGCUUAACACUAUUAACCUUCAUUUGUUCGUCUAGCCAUUGGUUAGUCAUCUACCUCAUUAACAUUCAUUCCAUGCACAUAAAGUCACUUACAAUCACGUCUAUUCACAUUCCUCGUAUUCCUCAUGUCAAGCAAAUUUGUGAAAAAAAAUCUGCAUAUACAGCAAAACAAUUAGCAGCGACGUCUAUGGAUAUAAAGAAGUUGCUGGAUAUCUCGUAGGUGGAAAAAACAUUGUCACAUGAAGACCUUAUUUGUGAACCCCGCCAUAAAACAAUUAAGUCUCUAGGAAAAUUGUAGGACAUCAAGUGUUAAUGUAUACCAUUUCAAUAUAAUGUCACUUUCUGUAAAUUUGUUGUGGAUGAUUUGAUAAGUAGGGGCAUGCUGUCUUGCAACAGACAGAGAAGUCAUUCUAUCUGUCAUAAAUAUAUGUAGCUAUUGAAAGAGAAAUUCAUGUGCUAGUGUCUAAUGCCUCUUCACCACUCAAGUUACAUUUUGAUGAACUGUUCAAUUUUCUAUAUAAAUACAUAACUGGGUAUUAAUAAAUUUCACCACAAAACUCAAUUGUCUAAAGUCUUCACUAUACAAGUCCUUUACUUUCUCCAUAUUCUCUAAUUGAUCUAAUAGUAUUAUGGGUAUUCGUUUGCCUCGUGUUACCAAUCUCAAGAAAAUCCUUAACCCGUCAUCUUUCUUGAUAAGUCCUGAUUAUACUUCAACAGUUCCAAAGGGUUGCUUGGCAGUAUAUAUUGGGGAGAAGCAAAGAAGAAGAUUUGUGGUUCCCAUUUCAUACCUGAAUGAUCCUGCCUUCCAAGACUUGUUAAAUCAAGCUGAGGAAGAAUUUGGGUUCAGCCAACCAGAAGGCGGCCUCACUAUUCCCUGCUCAGUGGACACAUUCAUUCACCUUGCUUCACACCUGGAUAGAUCAUAGAGAAAAACAUUUAUAUACUGGUAGAUAGUAUGGCAUUGAAAUGUAAAUAGUAGAAUAGAGAUUUUAAUCAGAUUUUUGUUGGCAACGGAUGAUUUGAAGCUCACCAUUUUGUUGAAUUUAACUUUACCAAAAUUUAUCCAUCAUAGUUUCUUCUUAAAAAUCUCUAUUCUACUAUUUAAUAUAAAGAACUAAAAAAUUUGAUUGCCAAAUUAGUAACUUUUUCUUGUAAUAUAUGCACUCGUAAAGCAAAUUAGGGAUUUUGAAAUCUCCUUAUGAUUUGCAUCCAAUGACAUUCGCAUAGAAAAGAAAAUGAUCUGAAGACUGCAGGCUCUUCCUUAGAUUUUAGGCAUCCAGGAGAUUUUCUGAUUACAAUGAGACAGCAAAUUUUCUUCUGUCUUGGCUACCUGCUGCAUGUAAUGACAUAUGAUUCGAACUGUGAAUGUCAAGUCUGGUCAGAGUUAGAAAGUUAAACUUAUCUACCCAGAACCAAUAAAUGAUGUUCUUGAUAAAAACAGCAAAUUUCAGAGGCAAUGAUUGUUGAAUGCAGACAGGUUUACAUAUUAUCCUUUAGGUGGUACUAACAUAAAAUGGAAUGAAACGACAAGCUUAUCAGUGGCUUCGUGGCUUACAUGAAGACUACAAAAAAACCUGCACAACUGAAAUUGUAAGGUUGAGUAUGUCAACUGCUAGAGUGAAUUUGAAUAAACAAGUUCUUCACAUCAAUCCAAAGAGAUCUCGGUAAUCCCAGGAGAGCAAUAUGUAUGAAUAAAUAGAUGCUAAUCAAUUAAGCAAAAUAAAUUCUUCACUGAUAUGUAAAAAUAAUAAUUCUGUGUAAUGAGAUGGUUACUCUAAUCUUCCCUAGGUUAUCAAAUGGAAGCGGAUUGAGUAGUAUACAGUACAAACCAGAACCUUACAAAAUUGUUAGUACCAGAUUAUAGCUACUUGUUUCUUAUAUCUGCGCAAGACUAAACUGAGGUUAACCAAUGUCUUCUCUACACGGAAAAGCCACUUCAAACAAUAAAGACAUAGAAAUUGCUCUUCUUUUGAACAAUUACAUUUGUGAUCGGACCAAUAAUGUAUAAAGCUGCUUAUCUAUAUUUCAAAUAAAAAUGACUACAUACUGAUUGCAGAGAUCAAAUCCAUGUAGAAAUUAAUGAAAUCAAAUUACAAAGUAUCAGCUAAUGUUCUACCUACAAGAUUUAUAUGAGAGCCAUAUAUAAAAUUUCUAGACUAGCUUACAAAAUUUGUACACUGUCUAACAACAUAUAUAUAAACUCUCAUAAUCUGUUCAAGAGAUCAAUGAAGGUGUCUUCUUUGCAUGGAAUUGUGAGGCCACCUUCUGGCUGACUAAACCCAAAUUCUUCCUCUGCUUGACUUAACAGUUCUUGGAACGUAGGCUCGUUUAAGUAAGAAAUCGGAACUACAAAUCUUCUUCUUUGGUUCUCCCCAACAUAAACUGCAAUGCAUCCCUUAGGGACAUUUGUACUACGAUCAAAAUUUUUUAAGGAAAAUUGUCUGUUGAGAAUUUGCUUGAGAUUAGUGAUAUGAGGCACACGAAUACCCAUGAUGCUCAAGAAAAAUUGAAACUUCAACGGAUAAUCUCUGGGGAUAUCGAAAAUACAAGAACUUCUGAAGAUGGAAGGCUUAGACCCUUAAUUACACUUGAUUUUGUGAUGAAAUUGGUUGAGGAUAUCACAGUUUUUAUAUAGAAAUGACAAGUAAUGAGUGGUUGAUUUAAAUGCAGAUUGAGUGGCACAGAUGCAUUAGGCAAUAGCACAUGCUAUUCUCUUUCAAAGGCCACACAUAUUUAAGAGUAAUGUCUGUUGAGAGACGUCAAUUCCUACUGCUUCUGUUCAACAAAUCUGGACCUGAUAUAUUCUCAUGUCCUACUGAUAGUGUAGAUAAGACAGAAUAUAACAUAAAAUAUACGGAUAUGAACAAGAUACAGAUAAUUUGGCUGGAAAGUCCUCACUUUGCCUGGAAACCAAGGUAGCAAAUUUUAUGUUGUUAGUUUUUGUGGUCAGUAGUUGUGGGUGGGACAGACAAGUUAGGUACUCAUGUGAUAGUGUUUUCAUUCACCUAGCCUAGCUGUUUAUUUUGUGUAGUAGGAAACACCUGAUACAAGUUGUUAUAUCCAUGAAAGAAAGGGCAAAUUUAUGUAAGAAAUAGAUGACUGUUAGGAUUUUGUGUGUUAGGAUUAUAAGUUUUUAUAUGUUUAUAUUCACAAAACAAAAAGUAAAUAAAAAUAGACGGGUGCUGGUCCCCAGCAUAUGGUUGCUGGGGAGGGUUUAAACAACAUACAGCUCCUGAACUGUUGGAUCAGAUGAGGGACGGCUGAGAUAAAAAAAAAAAUGUUCUCGUCCAGCGCUUAAAAACCGCUGAACGGUACACGUAGAAUUUUUUUAUUUUUUUUGUGUCCAGCGCCUAAGAAGCGCUGGAAGCACAGGCAAAUUUCAUGUGCGGCUCUGGAGCCUGUUAUCAAGUUCUCAAAAGGUUUAUUAGCCUUGUUCAUUGAAAAUAGCUCUCAUUCUUGUUAUCAUUUUUUCUAGAAGAUCUUGACAAGCCAAAUGAAUAUAUAUCUUCUGUCUGGGCCUUGGUGCCUCCGGUAACUCCCAAGCCAGGCCCCUGAUUCACCAGAAUUUUAUUAGGAGAUAAUUCCAAAGAUGUGAAGGGUUCUCGAUUUGCAAAAUUCAUAGCUGAAAGACAGAAAAUGCUAAAGAAGAUUUCUGACAGAUAAAUUAGAUAGCUCUUUUAUCAAAUUUCUUCCCAGCAAGUUGUGACAGUUGCCCAAUUCCAGUAUAAAUUAGGAAGAGAACUGCCACCAACUGGAAAUAUACUUUGAAGAUCCACUAGAAGCCAUGAAAAAAUAUAUCACCACAUCUGCUUCUGCUGCAGAAGAAUGAGAGCUAUUUUUAAGAUAAAUGAGGCUAUUAACCUUUUGAGAACUUGAUAAUAGGCUCCAGAGCUGCACAUGGAAUGCGGAAUUUCAGAUGUUGUAUAAGCAUCCCUCCAUCAUGCCUUGUAUUGCUGCAUCAACAUUAAUUUAUAUCUUCUCUGGUUGCCUGUGCUUCCAGUGCGUUUUAAGCGCCGGACACAAAAAAAUAUCCUCUCGUCCAGUGCUUAAAAACCGCUGGAUGUGUACCAUUCAGUGUACACAUCCAGCGGUUUUAAAACGCUAGACGAGAACAUUUUUUCUUCUGAUCUCAGCCGUCCCUCGCUAUAUCCAACGGUCCAGAAACCGUAUGUUGUUUAAACUCUCCCCAACAAUCAUAUACUGGGGACCAACACCCAAAACAGAUUGUUGAAAUAUAGCAUAAGGUCCAUUCUAGGCCUUCCUCUAACACUUUAAGGUUUCAGAUGGAUUGUUUUUCAACAUGGUAUCAGCCAUCAGGGCUCUGAUUUGGCGGAGGUCUCAAAUGUCCACGUAGGCAUUAAUUACCCCAAAGAUGGGCGCCCGUGAUUCCCUCUUUAACCCAAAAAUGGGACUCCAGACCGCGUCUUCACUAAUUCCUUGAGAGCCGUCAUUUUGGCUCACAACUUCACCACUUCUGAUGAAUGACCUUUACUUGAGCAAUCCUCCUUCAAUUCCUCAUGCUCCGACCAAUCAUCUGCAGAUGCUUUCUUCUUGCGUCGAAACGAGCUAUACGAGCCAACCGAAUCCUCCCUUCUAGAGCGUUCACUAUACGCUGAACCUCGAAAGGAGGAUUCGUAAUCCUCUGUUGGAUACUCGGAUGAAGCAACAUGCUCAUCCUUCUUUUUCGCAAAUUCCUCUUCCCAUUUCUCAGCCUCACGCCUCUGCUUCAUCUGAAACUCUAUCCGUCUCCGCUCGCGGUCAAGGGUGUCAAGUUCGCUCUUGAUCGCUUCACGGUUCAACUGCUCCUUAUCUUCAACAGCCAAUCUUUUGGCCUUAAGCUUCUCUAAAUGCAAUCUCGCAUCACCAGAAUGUGCCUUUUUACCUUGCGGCGUCACUGCCAGUGUGCGUGUACGGCGACGUCGCCUACUACCACCUCCGGUAGGAUCCGAAUAAGCCGGACCACCGCGAGAUUCACCUGCUCUAGUUUCGAACAGCUUUUUGUGUUUUAGUGUCUAUCUCCUUAGUUACUAUCACCUCUCGUGUUUCCAGAACUUGUAUCGUCUCCCUCGCUUCAUCUGCCAUGGUAGAUCUGCCCCCUCCUUCUAGCGCCAAAUGCUGAUCUGCCCUCUCCUUCUAGCGCCAAAUGCUGGAACAGUGUAUGUAUGUUUAUUACAGAGUGUAUGUAUCUAUUCUAUUCUCAGAUUCCAACCCUGUGUUAGCUGCUCUGUUUAUAUAGCACUCUGGCACGUGACUUCCUCAUGCUUGCUGUUUGGGCUUAUUCUUCUUUGGGCUGCCUCUCACUCUGGGCCAAGGCCCAACAACUUCAACAGUUCCAAAGGGUUACUUGGCAGUAUAUAUUGGGGAGAAGCAAAGAAAAAGAUUUGUGGUUUCCAUUUCAUACCUGAAUGAUCCUGCCUUCCAAGACUUGUUAAAUCAAGCUGAGGAAGAAUUCAUUCAUUCACCAUUCAUUCACUAUUCCCUGCUCAGUGGAAACAUUCAUUCACCUUACUUCACGCCUGGAUAGAUUAUAGUGAGAAAACAUUUAUGUACAGGUAGAUAGUACAACACUGAAAUGUAUAUAGUAGAAUAGGGAUUUUGAUCAGAUUUUUGUUGGCAACGGAUAAUUUGAUACUCACCAUUUUGUUGAAUUUAACAUCACCAGAAUUUAUCGAUCAUAGUUACUUCUUAUAAAUCUGGAUUAAUAUAAAGAAAAAAAAAACUUGAUUCCCAAAUUAGUAACUUUUUCAUGUAAUAUAUGCACUCCUAAAGCAAAUUCUACAUAGGAAGGGAUUUUGAAGUCUCCUUAUGAUUUGCAUAGAAGGGAAGUGGAUUUGGUGUAUGUUUGUACCCAGAUUUUACAGGCGUCAGGACACGACGUGAACUGCACUGACACGACGGGAAGUACUGGCGACAAGACAUGUAGUGGCAGAUGGAUAAGCAUGAAGACUGGGUCUUAACAAACCCACCUUUUUAGGGGGAGAAUUCAAAUGGAAGUUAGAGAGGUGCCAGGAAUAUAGGAGGAAGUUACAUGCACGUGGGAGUUAAGUGGAGAGAAAAUAGGAGUUGCAUAUGGGAUAGGACUCUUGGAAGACAAGUAUAUAUACGGAGGGCACAUUACACUACUUCUAGGUUAUCUCUACAUGCUGCAUAAUAGACUCUGAGUUAUCUUCUACUCAUUACAUUGUAGUGCAACUCUAAGAGAUUAUCAUCAAGAGACUUCUACACGCCUACAACUUCUUCUUCUACCUAAUACCAUUAUUUUUCUUACGCAUAAACCCCAAACCAAGCCCAAGAUAUACAAAUUGAUACACACACAUAUAUACAUAUAUUAACAUACAAGGAUUUCUCUUCUUCAACUUAUAUCAGCUGAGUUACACAUCUUCAUCUCCCUCAAAUCAUUCUGCCGACGGGUACAUAGAGGUGUCGACGGGUGCACACUGCUGUUGGACGGGUGCAUGCUGCUGUCGGACAUGAACUACUUCUGAAGCCGACGUCUGCGUAUUUUUGUACUUGUAUCUUGCUUUUAUCAUACUUGUAAGCUGAUGUUACAUCAUUAUAGUGGAUAUUUGGCUGGGACAUUCCCACCCGCGGUUUUUAACCUUUUACAAGGGGUUUUCCGCGUCACCAAAAUUGUUUGUGUUCUUGUCUUUUGCUCUCUAUUCGAUAUUCAUCUAUUUGAUCUACUAAACAUUCAUACAUUAAACACUUACUCCAUUGUUAUAGAAAUUAAAUAGGCUUGGCUUUUAACCCCGCAAAUUUUGGUAAAAACAGGUGUUUGACUGGUUGCUCGUUCUGGACUUGAUUCAUAUUGACAGCAGCAUAUCUAUGGGCUGAGAAUACACUGGUUCUAGUUGGUGACUUUAAAAUUCAGUAAUAUGAAAUAUAAUUUUCAUAUGGUGUUAGAAGUUGAGUUUUAGCAUACAUGUUUGAAAAGAGACCAUGCAACUAUUAAAUUGAUCGAGAGAAAUUAUUACACGCCACAAAGGUUUCCUUUAGGAAUCUUAAGUAUCCAAGACUGCAGGCUGUUCCUUCGAUUUUAGGCAUCUAGAAGAUUUUCUGAUUACAAUGAGACAGCAGAUUUUCUUGUGUCUUGGCUACCUGCUGCAUGUAAUUAUAUAUGAUUUAAACUGUGAUGUCAAGUCUGGUCAGAGUUGAAAAGUUAAACUUAUCUACCCAGAACAAUUAAAUGAUGUUCUUGAUAAAAACAGCAAAUUUCAGAUGCAAUGAUUGAGGAACGAAGACAGGUUUACAUAUUAUCUUGUAGGUACUAAAAUGAAAAAAAAGGGAAUGAAACGUCUGGCUUACAUGAAGACUACAAAAAAACCUGCACAACUGAAAUUGGAGGGUGAGUCUGUCAGCUAUUAGAGUGAAAUUGAAUAAACAUGUUAUUUGCAUCCAUCCAAAGAGUUCUCGGUAAUUCCAGGAUAGCAAUAUGUAUGAAUGAAUAGAUACUUAUUAACUAAGCAAAAGAAAUUCUUCACUGAUGAUUUCUAAAAAAACAUAUUUCUGUGUAAUGAGAUGGUUACUUUGAUCUUCCCUAGGUUACCAGAUGGAAGUGGAUUGACUAGUAUACAUUACAAACUGGAACCUUGCAAAAUUGUUAGUACCAGAUAAUAGCUAUUUCAAAUAAAAAAGUACUUACAAAGAUAUAUAAUACCUAAAAGAUUAAAGAUUGCAGAGAUCAAAUCCAUGUAGAAAUUAAUGUGAUCAAAUUACAAUUAAAGUAUCAGCUAUUGCUCUACCUAAAAGAUUUAUAUGGGAGUCAUAUAUAAAAUUUCUGGACUAGUUUACAAAAUUUGUACACUAUCUAACAACAUAUAUAUAAACUCUCAUAAUCUGUUCAACAGAUCAAUGAAGGUGUCUUCUUUGCAUGGAAUUGUCAGGCCUCCUUCAGGAUGACUAAACCCAAAUUCUUCCUCAGCUUGACUUAACAGGUCUUGGAAUGUGGGCUCGUUUAAGUAAGAGAUCGGAACUACAAAUCUUCUUCUUUUGUUCUCCCCAACAUAAACUGCAAUACAUCCUUUAGGGACAUUUGUACUACGAUCAAGAUUCUUUAAGGAAAAUUGUCUGUUGAGAAUUUGCUUGAGAUUAGUGAUAUGAGGCACACGAACACCCAUGAUGCUCAAGAAAAAUUGAAACUUCAAAGGAUAAUCUUCGGGGAUUAUGGAGAAUACAAGAACUUCUGCAGAUGGUAGGCUUAGACCCUCAAUUAGACUUGAUUUUGUGAUGAAUUUGGUUGAGGAUAUCACAGUUUUUAUAUGGAAAUAGCAAGUAAUGAGCGGUUGAUCAAAAUGCAGAUUGAGUGGAACAGAUGCAUUAGGCAAUAGCACAUGCUAUUCUCUUUCAAAGGCCACACAUAUUUAAGAGUAAUGCUAGGACUUGAAUGUCUGUUGAGAGACAUCAUGUCCUACAAAUCUGGACCUUAUAUUUUGUCAUUUAAAUUUAGGUUUUAUGCGUAUAGUGGAGUUAAGACAGAAUAUAACACAAUAUAUACGGAUAUGAACAAGGUACAAAAAAUUUGGGUGGAAAGUCCUCACUUUGCCUGGCAAGCAAGGUAGCAAAUUUUAAGUUCUUAGUUUUUGUGGUCAGUAUUUCUGGGUGGGACAGACAAGUUAGGUACUCAUGUGAUAGUGUUUUCAUUCACCUAUCCUAGCUGUUUAUUUUGUGUAGUAGGAAACACCUGAUACAAGUUGUUAUAUCCAUGAAAGAAAGGGCAGAUUUAUGUAAGAAACAGAUUAUCAGACUUACUACACAACUUUCUGAUUGUUCUAUAUAAACACAUAAUUAAGCUCACUGGUCUAAAGUCUUUUCCAUAAAACUAUACAAGUCCUAGUGUUUAUCCAGUUUCCUGAACUCUUCUCUGAAAGAUCUUUGGUGUCAUGGGUAUCCGUAUGCCUCCUAUUACCAAUCUCAAACAAAUCCUUAUCCGCUCAUCUUACUCUUUAAAUCUCUGGGGAUAUGGAAACUUCUGCAGGUGGAAGGCUUAGACCCUUAAUUACACUUGAUUUUGUGAUGAAUUUGGCAGAGGAUAUCACAGUUUUUAUAUAUUCAUUUAAAGAGAUAUAUUCAUACAUUCACCUGAAUUAAGCUAAAAUUUUGUAAUUUCCCUGAAAAGCCUUCCAAUCUAAUAAAAAUUAAAAUAGAUACCUUAUAUACAAAUUUUAUAANCACCCAUGAUGCUCAAGAAAAAUUGAAACUUCAAAGGAUAAUCUUCGGGGAUUAUGGAGAAUACAAGAACUUCUGCAGAUGGUAGGCUUAGACCCUCAAUUAGACUUGAUUUUGUGAUGAAUUUGGUUGAGGAUAUCACAGUUUUUAUAUGGAAAUAGCAAGUAAUGAGCGGUUGAUCAAAAUGCAGAUUGAGUGGAACAGAUGCAUUAGGCAAUAGCACAUGCUAUUCUCUUUCAAAGGCCACACAUAUUUAAGAGUAAUGCUAGGACUUGAAUGUCUGUUGAGAGACAUCAUGUCCUACAAAUCUGGACCUUAUAUUUUGUCAUUUAAAUUUAGGUUUUAUGCGUAUAGUGGAGUUAAGACAGAAUAUAACACAAUAUAUACGGAUAUGAACAAGGUACAAAAAAUUUGGGUGGAAAGUCCUCACUUUGCCUGGCAAGCAAGGUAGCAAAUUUUAAGUUCUUAGUUUUUGUGGUCAGUAUUUCUGGGUGGGACAGACAAGUUAGGUACUCAUGUGAUAGUGUUUUCAUUCACCUAUCCUAGCUGUUUAUUUUGUGUAGUAGGAAACACCUGAUACAAGUUGUUAUAUCCAUGAAAGAAAGGGCAGAUUUAUGUAAGAAACAGAUUAUCAGACUUACUACACAACUUUCUGAUUGUUCUAUAUAAACACAUAAUUAAGCUCACUGGUCUAAAGUCUUUUCCAUAAAACUAUACAAGUCCUAGUGUUUAUCCAGUUUCCUGAACUCUUCUCUGAAAGAUCUUUGGUGUCAUGGGUAUCCGUAUGCCUCCUAUUACCAAUCUCAAACAAAUCCUUAUCCGCUCAUCUUACUCUUUAAAUCUCUGGGGAUAUGGAAACUUCUGCAGGUGGAAGGCUUAGACCCUUAAUUACACUUGAUUUUGUGAUGAAUUUGGCAGAGGAUAUCACAGUUUUUAUAUAUUCAUUUAAAGAGAUAUAUUCAUACAUUCACCUGAAUUAAGCUAAAAUUUUGUAAUUUCCCUGAAAAGCCUUCCAAUCUAAUAAAAAUUAAAAUAGAUACCUUAUAUACAAAUUUUAUAAGAAGUUAACAGAAACUACCCUAAAAAUUUCACAUUCUACCUCAGAGAUCAGGGAAGUCAAGUUUUAAGGUGUUUUUCGUUAACAGACUGAGACUGGUAUUUUUACGGACAAAUAGAAUUUGCUAACUAAACGUAUUUGAGAUAAGAACCGAUUACAAAAAAUCUACAAGAACGAAUAAUUUCAUGUAUUCUUGAUGCCUAAAAGAUUUUCAUGGAAAGUCUCAGUCAAAUAUAAAAUGUCUGGACUAGUUCACAAAAUUUGUAAACUAUCUAACAACAUUUCAGUAAGUAUGUAUCUGUACAGAUAUAUAUAAGCUCUCAUAAUAUGUUCAAGAGAUCAAUGAAGGUGUCUUCCUUGAAUGGAAUUGUGAGGCCACCUUCUGGAUGACUAAACCCAAAUUCUUCCUCUGCUUGACUUAAAAGGUCUUGAAAUGAAGGCUCAUUUAAGUAAGAGAUCGGAACUACAAAUCUUCUUCUUUGGUUCUCCCCAACAUAAACUGCCAUGCAUCCCUUAGGGACAUUUGUACUACGAUCAAGAUUUGUUGAGGUGAAUUGGCGGUUGAGAAUUUGCUUAAGACUAGUGAUACGAGGAACAUGAAUACCCAUGAUGCUAAAAUCAAAAAUUUGUAGUAUUCAGGAUAAACUCUGCUGAUAUUAAAAUACAAGGACUUUUGCAGAUGGAAGGCUUAGAACUUGAAUACAAUGGAUUAUGUGAUAAAUUUGGUUGAGUUUAUAAUAGCUAUUUUAUAGAGCACAUAGGAAGUAGUAUUGAACAUUUGAUUGAGUGGCACAGAUGAAUUAGGCAUUAGCACAUGCUAUUCUCUCUCAAUGGCCACAUAUGUUUAAGACUAAUGGUAGGACUUAAAUGUUUGAGUCUUGUAGUGUGGAUAAGAGAGUAUACAAAAAUGUUUGAGUCUUGUAGUGUGGAUAAGAGAGUAUACAAAUAAUUUGGCUGGAAACUCUUGAGUUUUAGUUGUGACAGACAAGUUAGGUGCUCAUGUGAUUGUGUUUUCAUUUACCCAUCCUAGCUGUUUAUUUUGUUGAAUUGAUGAAUCAUUUAGUAGAAAACAGUAGCUGCUGGGGAUUAAUCAAGCAGACGUAGUAGGGCUUGAUGUCUCGCAACACACAUAAAUCUAAUCUUCUUGGUCAUAUAUACUUGUAGCUAUCAGAACAUAAUAUCAUGUGCUAGUGUCUACUGCUUCUUCACCACUCGGAUAAUAUUUCUAAUAAAUUCUUUGAGUAGUUCUAUGUUCUAUAUAUACAUAUAUUUAAGCAUUCGUAGAAUUCAUCACAAACUCAAUUGCUUCAAGCUUUAAACUUACAUUUCCUUGUGUUUCUGUUGUUUCCCCCCAACUUUUCACUAAAAGAUCUGUUGCAUCAUGGGUAUUCGUGUGCCUCGCAUUGCUAAUCUCAAAAAAAUCCUCAACCGGUCAUCUUUCCUGAUAAAUCCUGAUCUUACUUCAACAAUUCCAAAGGGGUGCUUGGCAGUUUAUAUUGGGGAGAGGCAAAGAAGCAGAUUUGUGGUUGCGGUUUCAUACCUGAAUUUUCCUGCCUUCCAAGAAUUGUUAAGUCAAGCCGAGGAAGAAUUUGGAUUCAAUCAUCCGGAAGGAGGUCUUACGAUUCCUUGCUUAGUGGACACAUUCAAUGAAAUUGUAGAAUCGGAUUAUUUUAUACAUAUACAUCUAGAGAGCAUAGCACCUUCGAUCUCAUUUGAUGAGCUUCAGAUUGUAAAUUGUAGAAUCGGAUUAUUUUAUAAAUGCUUAUUACAUAUUUACGUAGAGCAAUAAAAAACUCUGUUUUUAAAACAUCCUUUGACAGAUUGAUUAAUAUAGAGCAUCACGGUUAUUUGUAUGUCUGUAUUGCUAAUCUUGAACAAAUCUUGACCAGUAAUUUUGUUGAUAUAUCUGACAUGUAAAUGAAUUUUAAAUAUUUAUAUGCUCCCCUAGUCAGGUUAUGACAUAAACUCUUAUAGUCUUCGACUCUUCGUUUACAUGUUAAGCUAUUCUAGUCACUUCCACGCUGCACCAUGUUGAUAACUGACGAAAAUGUUAACAUUUAAUUUUGUAAUUGACCUAAAAAGAGAUCAGAUUCAUACUGCUUGUACAAAAUAACAAAAUGAAUGAUUAAUUUGAGUCAAACUGGAAAGGAAUGAUCAAUUUGAGUCAAACUGGAAAGGAAUGAUCUACUUGAUAUAUUUGGAUGAAACGAGUGACCAACUUGAUAUUUUUCCUAAAAAAAUAUCAUAGAAAUAUGGAGUAUGAAACUAGCAAGGAAUGGAAGUCGACACAGGAAGAAAGAUUGAGCAAAAUACAAAGAAAUGUUGAGAAUACAUAGUGGUUUGAUUUGAUUUCUCUUUGAUUCUUUUUCGAGUUGAUCUACACCAAACCUUCUUGUGAUCUAUGUUGUUUGGUUAAUUAUCUGUACAGACAAUUGUUCAUAUUAUAUUAUUAAUUAUCAAUGCAGCCACCCCCUAUUCUUUGGAAUUUGAGGGUACUUUAGAUCCUUUAAUUUGAUGAACAAUAACACAAGCAAACCUGAACAGAACUGCUGAAAAAAGUUCUCCAGUAAAUCUCCAAAUUCUGCAGCAGCAUAAAUUUAAUCAUAAGAAUUUGCUUAAAAUUUACCAAAUUAUACACAAAAUUAGGCAAAUGUAUGCAUAAAAUAAGAAGUCAGCAGAAUCACAAACUAAAUUCCGUAGAUUAUAAGAGCAUCGGAGUCCAUAAUACAGAUUGCCUACUAAACUUUGCCGCAGAAAUUUUAUAAAUCAAUAAGUGUUCUAUGAAGACUUACACAACUAAUUUGCUGUAGAAUAGACAAAAUGUUCCUCAAACAAAAAAUUAAAAAUAACCCUAAUAUCAGAAUAUCAUUCAACUGCCUUCAUAGACAUUGAUACAUCCUUAAUCCUUUGAUGUGAGAUUGCUAGUUAAAACAAAAGUUAGUAUUUGGCGGGCUAGAUUGUGGAUAAUACAUGACAUGUCCUUGUAAAAAAAGAAAUUUAAAGAAAGGACAAACUUAUAGGAGAUAUUAAAACCUUCACAAUAAACGGAAGAUGGACAACAAAAGAACUUUUAAGAAAAUAUUCAGAAUCCAGGAAUAGGCUACUAGUAAAGUUGAUCCCCGACCUUUCCUAAUGACAAGGUCUGUGGUUCAUAUCCACACUCCACUUCGCUUUGAAGUCCCGCGUUAUAAGCAUGCAUGUUUUUAUUCCUUUGCCUCAACCUUAAGGUUUAUGUGAUGGAACCUUGCAAGACUAUUUCAACUGUUGAUGAUUAGCAACUUAAGAAGCAGAAUCAUAUCGUUCCGCCAUAAAGUUGAAUGGCAAUAAAAUAAUGAUAAUUAGUCUGCAAGUUCAAAUUACAAAAGUUAGUCUGUAAUCAGAACCUAAAACAGCCUAAAAUAAUAUAGAAAAAAAAGGGUGCCUAAAUUUAACUGAACUGCUUUCUUAAAAAUGGCAGUACAUCUCCUUUAGUCUCAGAUUUUUACAGCUUGUGCAAUCACAUAUGCACAUAUCUAAAAUUUUAUGAGGCUCGUGGUUCGUGAUGUUAAAUGAGACCUUGGUUGUCAGAACUGUGCUGCUGCUACUGGACAUAAAAGAGAACUGUAUUAUUGUUUGCUGCUAUAUUUAUCGGAAUGUUUAACAUAGCAUACUUCAUUCAGAGAAUAUAGAAUAUGAGAUUGACUCCUAAAAUUGACAAAAUCUUGACAGCAGAUGCAAUACAAAUCUGGAAAAAAAGCGCAUAAAAAAAAGUUGCGGACUAAUGGGAAAAACUUUAGCAUUCAGAAUAUUAUGUAGACAUAUCACAAAACAGAAAAUCCUCAUAUUCUGCAAACUAUGCUAAAAUCUGCAGUAAAUCUCUGAAUUAUGCAGAAACCCAGACUCUAUUUCUCUUAAGUUCUUUUGGAUUAUAUCGAGAAACUAAGUUGAUCGAAAAACCUUUAUCUCGCACAUCUACUUUCUGUAAUUCGACUUUAAAAACAAACUAAAAAUUGCACAUUUUUCUCCUUUUUACCCUUAACAAAAACAUUUCAUGAAUAUCCAUCAAGUCUAUAAUAAUUAAAAUUUCAAUAGUAGAAAUUAACUUAUAUACUUGCUUAUGCGGAGAACGGAUUAUAGGUUAGUUUCUAACUAAUUAAUCAAUAUAUUUCCUUGUAUAAUUUAAUUUAUAGGUCAUUUAUUUUCAUGAAUAUUCUUCAAAAGGCUAGGAACCUGCCCACUGGCUCCAUAGCCAACACAGGUAGGUAAUUCGGAGUCUCGGACUAACCGAGCGAUAAGACCCGGUGGGUGGGAACUUCCUUGCGAUACGCACGGAUAGGAACCCGAUCCCCUUUCUUCUGUCUCUUCAACUCGGGUGAACGUCAGGGAGCUGGUGAGGUUCGAACCCAUGACCCUUUGGAUCAAAGCAAGGCCCCGUUUCCACUGGGACAGCUCUCACACUUAUUUUCAAGAAUAUUGCUUUACAUCAAAUCAAGUUAAAAUUUUAUAAUUUCGAUAAAAACCCUUGAAUUGGAAAUAAUUAAAAGAAAAAUAACUUACAUAAAAAUUUAAGAUAAUUAUGCAAAAAAAUACCCCAACAAUUUGAUAUUCUACGUCGAGGAUAAUUUAAGUUUCAAAGCAAAUAAAUAUUUAUGUUUUUAUCAUAUUCACAGAUGGACUUUGCUGUUUAAUUGAGUAUAUACAUAUAGUAUGUAUGAGUUUAUAACCAGUGAUACAGAACACCUUCAAGAAAGAAUAAUUUCAAGAAUUAACACUCAAAUUUUUUUUAGUACUGCAAUUCAUUUCUCAUACAAUGCUCAAGCAAGAAGUGAGUUAAAGGAACAUGUCUACUCUACAUGGAAUAGUAAGACCACCUUCUACAUGAUCAGAUAAAGAUUUCAAGAGAGACUAGCACAUGGGUCUGUAUUUAUGUUACCCUACUGCUUCUUGUACCACUAAAUACAUGCUUCAGACAAGGAUUAGAAUGUUGAUUUUAUGUUUGAUUAUGUUAAAAAUUCAAAUAACUGGACACCUAACUAUUAAAGGCAGAGCUAUCAGACAACUAAGAAAUUUGAUUAUCCUUGGUAUUUGUAGGGCAAGUUGUGUCUUGGUAAGCAGAGAAUAUAUCCCAAACUCCUCCAACCUUGCUAUACAUUCUCUAUUUGUAGGACAUCACCAUGUGCUACUGACUUAUUAUUUCGUUUUCAUUGUUCAAGAAACCUUCUAUAUAAACAUAGGGACUUUGACAUAAAUCAACACAAGCAUACAAGCAAACCUUCAUUUCUUUUAUCAAGCAUCGUCUCAUCCUUUCCUUCUCGACAUCCACUUUAAAAAUACCAACUUAGAAACAUGGGUAUCCGCAUGCCUCGUAUUCCUCAUGUCAAGAAAAUCUUUCAGGGGUCUUCUUUGGCAACUACAGCAGUUUCAGACAUCCCAAAGGGCUGCUUGGCAGUUUAUGUUGGGGAGAGCCAAAGAAAAAGAUUUGUUGUUCCAAUUUCAUACUUGGCUGAGCCUGCCUUCCAGGACUUGCUAUGUCAAGCUGAGGAAGAAUUCGGUUUUGAUCAUCCAGAGGGGGGUCUUACAAUUCCCUGCAGAGAAGAUGUAUUUACAGAUCUCGCCUCAAGCUUGAGAAGAAAAUCAUAGAGAAGAACAUAAUCAAAAAAGUAGUUUAGAAAUUUUUUGUAAGCUAGUAGGAGAUAAGUUAGAAUAGGUUGGACCAAAGGCAUAAUUAUGCAAAUACUUUCUUCUGGUAUCUCAUGGAAUCAUUUUCAAUGAGGAAGAUCAUUACUUAAAAUUUUGUAAAAUAUUAAACUAUAUACUUCCCAUUAUAAUUUUAUGAUCUAACUAUGUUGUUUGCAAAUAACUUCCUAUCUGUAAUCAGUUCCACGUUAUUCUCAAAUUGAUCGAAAUUGGCAUAUAAGAUUGUGUUAACAGAUAAAUUUAUUGAAAAUCGAUAUGGGAGAAAGAAGCCUCUUAUCUUAUAUUCCUAUAUUUCAGAAAGAAUUAGUCAGAACCUAUCUACAGUUGCUCUGUGAUCAUAUUUACUGUGAAUACUAAAUUGAUCAAGCAUCGACCUGCAUAAACAUACAAUUCUCCUGUAUUUCCAUCGCGAAGAUCAUUGCAUAAAAAGCGGUCAAUUUAUAAACAAUCUAUAUCUCCUAUUAUAUCCUUUGACCGGAUUAUUUAGCUUGAUUGCCUUCCUCAUUUACAUCAUUUCCACAUAAUUCAGCAAUUAAAUCAACAGUUGCAUCUAAUUGUGUGUAAGAAGUAUGGUUUCAUGAAGAACUUGAAUGUCUUUUCCCUAUAUAUGGUUUCUCUCUGACAUUUGUUUCUUUAGAGGGAAUUGAUCUUUUCCCUAUAUAUGGUUUCAUGAAGUACUUGAAUGACUAUCUCUAUAUAUUUGUUUCUUUAGAGGGCAUGCCGAAAACACUUUAAAAAGGUAAAAACAAUAUACUAAUUUUCUUUUGGACUGUUCUGUAGAAGGAUAUGUUCAUUAAACCUUUUCUGACAGUCAAUUUAUUUCUGGUGGUUUCUAUUUCUUCAUGUUUUAUCUCUUAGGUAGAAAAAACAUUGUCACAUGAAGACCUAAUAUGUGAAACCCGCCAUAAAAUUAUUGAUGACAUAAUAUGCAAAUUGUAGGACAUCACGUGUUUAUGUAUACCAUUUCAAGAUAAUGUCACUUUCUGUAAUCUAUUGUGGAUGAUUUGGGUAGAGAUUUGAUAAGUAGGGGCAUGCUGUCUUGCAACAGACAGAGAAGUCAUUCUAUCACUCAUAAAUACAUGUAGCUAUUGAAAGAGAAAAUCAUGUGCUAUUGUCUAAUGCCUCUUCACCACUUGAAGUACAAAUUGAUGAACUGUUCAAUAUUUUCUAUUUUUGUAUAUAAAUACAUAACAGGGCAUUAAUAAAUUCAUCACAAACUCAAUCAUCUAAAGUCUUCACCAUACAAGUUCUUUUCUUUCUCCAUAUUCUCUAAACAAUCUAGGAGUAUUAUGGGUAUUCAUAUGCCUCGUGUUACUAAUCUCAAGAAAAUCUUUAACCCGUCUUCUUUCUUGAUAAGUCCUGAUUAUACCUUAACAGUUCCAAAGGGGUGCUUGGCAGUAUAUAUCUUGGAGAAGCAAAGAAGAAGAAGACUUAUCAAGAAAGAAGACGGGUUAAAGAAGAAGGGGGAUUGUCUAUUACAUUACAAACUAGAACCUUCCAAAAUUGUUAGUACCAGAUAAUCUGAAGUGAGGUUAAUGAAUGUUUUCUCUACAUGGAAAAGCCACUUCAGACUAUAAAGACAUGGAAUGUAUAAAGCUACUUAUAUAUAUUUCAAAUAAUAAGUACUUAUAAAGACAUAUAAUGACUACAUACUGAUUGCAGAGAUCAAAUCCAUGUAGAAAUUAAUGUCUCAAAUAUAAAAUUUCUACCUACAAGAUUUAUAUGAGAGUCAUAUAUAAAAUUUCUGGACUAGUUUACAAAAUUUGUACACUAUCUAACAACAUAUAUAUAAACUCUCAUAAUCUGUUCAAAAGAUUAAUGAAGGUGUCUUCUUUGCAUGGUAUUGUGAGGCCACCUUCUGGAUGACUAAACCCAAAUUCUUCCUCAGCUUGACUUAACAGGUCUUGGAAUGUAGGCUCGUUUAAGUAAGAUAUCGGAACUACAAAUCUUCUUCUUUGGUUCUCCCCAACAUACACUGCAACGCAUCCCUUAGGGACAUUUGUACUACGAUCAAGAUUUUUUAAGGAAAAUUGCCUGUUGAGAAUU
This 23689-nucleotide long non-coding RNA is filed under the name Daucus carota (carrot). RNAcentral describes it as "long non-coding RNA (DCAR_LNC001130)". The record is from RNAcentral. Lineage: Eukaryota; Viridiplantae; Streptophyta; Magnoliopsida; Apiales; Apiaceae.